RNAcentral lists this non-coding RNA (857 nucleotides) under Pongo abelii (Sumatran orangutan). Lineage: Eukaryota; Metazoa; Chordata; Mammalia; Primates; Hominidae. The record is from RNAcentral.
GUACACGGAGGCAGCAUGGGGAAAGGCAUUGAAGGGCGGGACCGAGGCACCGGCUGGGACCCCGGAGCCGACUUGCUGCAGAUCCAAAAAGGCGGAGCUAGAUAAAGAGGAAGGGGUGGAGCUAGAACUGGACACCUCGGGGGUUUCCUGCUUUAUGGCGAAGGGUACAAAGCACUGGGAAUGCAACCUUGAACAAGACAAGAAUCCUGGUCUUCAAGGAACUGCGAACCUUUUUGGGGGAUAUGAUAAGAUACAUUAGGAAUCACCAUGUUAAUGGUGAUCUUUCUUGAAGGAUAUAAGUCCAGGUGCUCGGGGAGACCCACACAUAUACUCAUAGAAAUGAGUUAUUUAAAGAAGACGGUCCAGAUUCCACAGUCCAAAAAAAAAAAAAAAAAGAGGUUUGCCCUGCUUCUGAAGGAGUCAGGAUACGAAUGCAGAGGUCUUCCUGUUGGCUCACGUAUCAGACCUUCAACGUCAACAUUAAAUGUGAGUGAUGCUCUCCACUCUGUGAAUGUGGCUUUGGGUAUGGCUAAUCCACACCCUGCACUCUGGCCUUCAGAAGCCCAGGGAGAGAAGCCUCCCAGAAGCAACCUUCCAGAACCUUCUCCAUACUCCCACCGACCUCCCCAGCCCCUGUCUUCUCUUUGAAUCUCGUUGUCAAGUUCUUUCCUGGCUCCUUGAGGGGAGGUGCAGCUUUCAUCUGACCAUGCAGGCGUGCUUUGCAGUGGGUAGAGCAGUGCUUUCCUCCUCCCAGCUGCACACUGGAAUCACCUGGAGAGUCCAGAAACUUCCCGCCUCAGUGAAAGAACAUCAGUGUAUCAGCACAGCAAAGAUUCCAAAUGCCAGGCUGGAUUGCC